GACUCAGUGAUCUAGUGGUUAAGCGUUUGCCGCGUAGCCAGAAGGUCCUGGGCUCGAUCCCCGGCGGGGUCA
This 72-nucleotide transfer RNA is filed under the name Schistosoma japonicum. RNAcentral's name for it is "tRNA-Thr". Lineage: Eukaryota; Metazoa; Platyhelminthes; Trematoda; Strigeidida; Schistosomatidae. The record is from RNAcentral.